UGGAACAUGGACAUCACCUCCUAUUUGCAGAGCUGUCUGUCGAUUCCCAUGUCAGAAUGGGGGCAUCUGCCAACGCCCAAAUGCUUGUUCCUGUCCAGAGGGCUGGAUGGGGCGCCUCUGUGAAGAACGUGAGUUGCUCUUCAGAUCUUACUUAGAGUCCUGACAAAUUGCCUGGAUGCUCCCACCUGAGGGGAGUUACCAGGAAAUGGUUGUACUGUUGGGAAGAAUUCAUUUGCUGUAAGUCCUUGUCCACACCAAACAGAGCACAUAUGUGUCAACAGGUUGCAGAAGAUCUAUAAUAUUAAUGACUUUGAAAAUACUGUUAUUAAGAUCCAUCUAAAGUCAUCUUCACAUGCUCCCUGGCACAAAUUUGCAAAAGUCUUCUUGAGAAGGAGCUUGUUGUAAAGUCUCCAAGCUAUCCUCUUCCCUUAACUCAGGGUCUACUAUGUGCUAUGUCAGUCAUUGCUCAGUUGGUAUAAACGUGCACCACUGCAAAACAUGUACUUUGCAGGUAAUAUUUGCAGCUCACCAUUUCCUCUUUGUUGUUAAGAAUAGUUUCUACUAAUUAAGAAAAUAAGGAAAGCUAG
RNAcentral lists this small RNA (587 nucleotides) under Pan troglodytes (chimpanzee). RNAcentral's name for it is "processed transcript". The record is from RNAcentral. Lineage: Eukaryota; Metazoa; Chordata; Mammalia; Primates; Hominidae.